GACCAUAUUGUCUAGUGGUUAGGAUACCUGGCUCUCACCCAGGAGGGCCGGGUUCAAUUCCCGGUAUGGGAAUAAACA
Non-coding RNA from Daphnia magna, 78 nucleotides. NCBI's taxonomy places the organism in Eukaryota, Metazoa, Arthropoda, Branchiopoda, Diplostraca, Daphniidae. The record is from the annotation of a RefSeq genome assembly.